GGGCGCGUGAUGGAAUUGGCAGACAUGCAUGACUUAGGAUCAUGUGGGUAAUACCCUUGGGAGUUCGAGUCUCCCCGCGCCCACCA
This 86-nucleotide transfer RNA is filed under the name candidate division WS1 bacterium. RNAcentral's name for it is "tRNA-Leu". It matches the Rfam family "tRNA". From Rfam's summary of the family: Transfer RNA (tRNA) molecules are approximately 80 nucleotides in length. Their secondary structure includes four short double-helical elements and three loops (D, anti-codon, and T loops). Lineage: Bacteria; Bacillati. The record is from RNAcentral.